AGCGGUGGUGAUCACCUCUUCCCAUUCCGAACAGAGAAGUUAAGCCCACCCGCGCCGAUGGUACUUGCCCUAAAGGCUGGAAGAGUAGGUCGUCGCCUAUU
RNAcentral lists this ribosomal RNA (101 nucleotides) under Bacteroidales bacterium. The record is from RNAcentral. Lineage: Bacteria; Pseudomonadati; Bacteroidota; Bacteroidia; Bacteroidales.